This 166-nucleotide unclassified non-coding RNA is filed under the name soil metagenome. RNAcentral describes it as "partial contains 5.8S ribosomal RNA, internal transcribed spacer 2, and large subunit ribosomal RNA". The record is from RNAcentral.
AACGCACGAGACCUGCGGACCUGCGGAGGGAUCAUUAGUGAACGCCCUCACGGGCUUAUAACUAUUCCAAACCUCUGUGAACCGUGCCCUUCGGGGCUAUUUUACAAACAUGGUGUAAUGAACGUCAUAUAUCAUAACAAAACGAAACUUUCAGCAAUGGAUCUCU